RNAcentral lists this ribosomal RNA (395 nucleotides) under Chrysochromulina parva. RNAcentral's name for it is "partial small subunit ribosomal RNA". It matches the Rfam family "Eukaryotic small subunit ribosomal RNA", at positions 30 to 432 of the family's 1831-position model. The record is from RNAcentral. Lineage: Eukaryota; Haptophyta; Prymnesiales; Chrysochromulinaceae.
GCUUGUCUCAAAGAUUAAGCCAUGCAUGUCUAAGUAUAAGCGACUAUACUGUGAAACUGCGAAUGGCUCAUUAAAUCAGUUAUGGUUUAUUUGAUGGUACCUACUACUUGGAUAACCGUAGUAAUUCUAGAGCUAAUACAUGCAGGAAGACCCGACUCACGAAGGGUUGUAUUUAUUAGAUAAGAAACCUUCCCCUUUGGGUUGCGUGCCGAGUCACAAUAACUGCUCGAAUCGCAUGGCUUCACGCCGGCGAUGGUUCAUUCAAAUUUCUGCCCUAUCAACUUUCGACGGUAGGAUAGAGGCCUACUGUGGUGAUAACGGGUAACGAAGAAUAAGGGUUCGAUUUCGGAGAGGGAGCCUGAGAAACGGCUACCACAUCCAAGGAAGGCAGCAGG